This 253-nucleotide ribosomal RNA is filed under the name uncultured bacterium. Its description in RNAcentral is "partial 16S ribosomal RNA". It matches the Rfam family "Bacterial small subunit ribosomal RNA", at positions 524 to 776 of the family's 1533-position model. The record is from RNAcentral.
UACGAGGGGGGCAAGCGUUGUUCGGAAUUAUUGGGCGUAAAGAGCUCGUAGGCGGUCUGUUGCGUCGGCUGUGAAAACCCGGGGCUCAACCCCGGGCCUGCAGCCGAUACGGGCAGACUAGAGUUCGGCAGGGGAGACUGGAAUUCCUGGUGUAGCGGUGAAAUGCGCAGAUAUCAGGAGGAACACCGGUGGCGAAGGCGGGUCUCUGGGCCGAUACUGACGCUGAGGAGCGAAAGCGUGGGGAGCGAACAGG